GUGCGAGUUAGUUCUGCACGUUAACAGAGUCCCAUAAUUCAUGAUAAACUGGGUAUUUCCGUGAUCCCUAAACACGUUUGUUAAAGCUCCUGCAGUUAGAAAUUCUGAAAAAAAAGGAAGGUGAAAAGAAAGAAACAUGCCCCCUAAAAAGAUUGAACGCGACGUGACACCAAAUACCAACACUAAAGAAGCAAUUUAUAAAACACCUAGCCAGACCCAAAACUGUCCCUGCGGAAACAAUGCACAGGUUCAAAAAAAGGAUGAGAAAAAAGCCAAAAAAUAGUGGACAGGAACAUCACGAGGGAUGAUGACGAUCUUGAAGAUGCUUCAAGAGACUGAACUUUUACCUCUUUGAACUGUUUUUUUUGCCCUCUACUUAAUCAAGAAUUAGAUGUUACAUUGACAAGAAUAUUAACAGUAGAAAGACGGUGUAGUUUUGUCAAGGUUCUCCAAGUAUCUUAUGCGAAAGCUCCUUGUUUACUUGUUUAGGAUGUCACCAGAUAUUUUACAAGGACAUGAAUAUCAACAGUAGAUUGGUUGUUAGGUUUUUUUCUAGGUUUCCUUAUGUUUCUUACUUCGUGUGCGAAAGCUAUUUUUUCAACGUUUGCACUUUUGUAAUAGGAUGAGACUAAAAAAUGGAAUAUUCUUUACUGUGAGAUAAAGGAUGCCUCGAACUUAGAA
This is a non-coding RNA of Pocillopora verrucosa, 681 nucleotides long. The record is from RefSeq and is a predicted model, not a curated record. NCBI's taxonomy places the organism in Eukaryota, Metazoa, Cnidaria, Anthozoa, Scleractinia, Pocilloporidae.